This 253-nucleotide ribosomal RNA is filed under the name uncultured bacterium. Its description in RNAcentral is "partial 16S ribosomal RNA". It matches the Rfam family "Bacterial small subunit ribosomal RNA", at positions 524 to 776 of the family's 1533-position model. The record is from RNAcentral.
UACGUAGGUGGCAAGCGUUGUCCGGAUUUACUGGGCGUAAAGAGCGCGCAGGCGGUCGUUCAAGUCGCGUGUGAAAGCCCCCGGCUCAACUGGGGAGGGUCACGCGAUACUGAUCGACUCGAAGGCAGGAGAGGGUAGUGGAAUUCCCGGUGUAGUGGUGAAAUGCGUAGAUAUCGGGAGGAACACCAGUGGCGAAGGCGACUACCUGGCCUGUUCUUGACGCUGAGGCGCGAAAGCGUGGGGAUCAAACAGG